Molecule: ribosomal RNA, 292 nt
Filed under: uncultured bacterium
Lineage: Bacteria
Description: partial 16S ribosomal RNA
Rfam family: Bacterial small subunit ribosomal RNA
Source: RNAcentral
GUGUCAGCAGCCGCGGUAAUACGGGGGGGGCGAGCGUUGUUCGGAAUUACUGGGCGUAAAGGGUUCGUAGGUGGCCUGCUAAGUCAGAUGUGAAAUCCCUCGGCUUAACUGAGGAACUGCAUCUGAGACUGGAAGGCUUGAGUGCAGGAGAGGAAUGCGGAAUUCCAGGUGUAGCGGUGAAAUGCGUAGAUAUCUGGAGGAACACCGGUGGCGAAGGCGGCGUUCUGGACUGCAACUGACACUGAGGAACGAAAGCCAGGGGAGCAAACGGGAUUAGAUACCCCCGUAGUCC